Mesocricetus auratus (golden hamster) is the source of this 605-nucleotide long non-coding RNA. RefSeq lists it as uncharacterized. Lineage: Eukaryota; Metazoa; Chordata; Mammalia; Rodentia; Cricetidae. The transcript has 3 exons. The record is from RefSeq and is a predicted model, not a curated record.
GUGCCUGAGGGAACAGAAUUCUCCCAGGCUUCGGCCCUUGAGGCCUAGUGUCUGCUGGUAGUAGCGGAGUGGUAGUUGCUGAAUAGAAUAGCCGUAGCUUAAAAGGCAGCAACAAUUAAAAAAAAAAAAACAAGUUAGCCACACACCUAAGCCACUAAUUAGUCAUCGAGGUCAGGCAGUAGAGGUUACACCUUUAAUCCCAGAACUCAGGAGACCGAGACAGAUGGAUCUCUGUGAGUUCAAGGCCACCCUGGGGUACAUGAGCGUGAAUCAGCCUAAAAGAUCCCAGCACUAGAGAGGAAUAUAAGGCAGGAGCUCAGAGUAGUCUGAGGUUUUUGGUGGCUAGCAUUGCAGUCUGCAGUCAUACUGAGGACAGGAUCGCCCCUCUUUGGUCUUAGUCUUGGUGGAGAGAAAUCACACAUUUAAAAUGUGACAAGCUCAAAUGAGAAGUGUCUACAUGGACAGACGCUGAUUUGUUUCAACCUGAUAAUCCUCUUUAUGAAAGCUCUUGAAAACUAAUUCCAGUAAGGUUUCCAGCCAACACAGUAAGCUAAAAUGGGCGGCUGGGAGCAUCUCUAAGUCAUUGUGGAUGUGGACCAAGGCAA